AGUCGCACGUUCUCCAAGUCACGUCCCCCGCUUCCCCUAGUAGGGGGUCGACGGAGAUUGGACCCUUCCCCCAGUCAGCUGCUCUGCAUCUGUCACCUCGGCGGCAGCGCUCCCUUGAGGUCGCACCUCCGCUGUGGAGGGAGGCGAGAGCGAGCUGAGUGGGGGGUCUUCCCUUCCCCCAUCCCGCUGGCCCCAGACAAGCCACCGCAGACCGCGGCGAAAUCAGUUAAGCUCUUGCGUGCACCAGUUCCCGGAGCAGAGUCUGAAAGUUUUUGUGUUUCUGUGCGGCUACUUUUAAGUAUAAAAAAUUCAGCAGUGGCUCCUGGGUGCCUAUGUCAGCGUCUGGCCCUUUGUGGAUUACGUACGGGACAACUGGGGUGGGGAAGGGCCCCUCUUCACAGGCAGCAAUUCCCAGAGUGGCCUUCCUAUGGGACCCCAGAGCUCCCAGGGGGAGGAUCCCAGAGGGGGAUAUGGUAACAGAAUCACUGUCACUUCUGGGAUUGAGGGUGGCAGCUAAAGGGAAACCCCUCGAGUGUCAGUCGGACUUGCCAUUUGAGUCAGCACUGCUAGGUGCUGCUGAAUUCUGCAGGGGGAGGAAGAACCUGAUCAGAUAAAACAAGGGCUGACCUAGAGAAAGUCUCUUGGGUCAACAUAUUCUUAGCGAUAACAGAAGAUCACUCCAACUGUUCUACACCCCACCCUACAACAUUGACCCCCCGCUUUCCAGCAUUUACAGUCCCUUUUAGUUUACAACUAAGAGUAUGGGUUGCCUGGGAUCAGGAAAUGAGCC
RNAcentral lists this long non-coding RNA (790 nucleotides) under Homo sapiens (human). RNAcentral's name for it is "HSALNT0358403". The record is from RNAcentral. Lineage: Eukaryota; Metazoa; Chordata; Mammalia; Primates; Hominidae.